This 506-nucleotide ribosomal RNA is filed under the name uncultured bacterium. RNAcentral's name for it is "partial 16S ribosomal RNA". It matches the Rfam family "Bacterial small subunit ribosomal RNA", at positions 29 to 523 of the family's 1533-position model. The record is from RNAcentral.
AGUGAACGCUGGCGGUAGGCCUAACACAUGCAAGUCGAACGGCAGCACAGGAGAGCUUGCUCUCUGGGUGGCGAGUGGCGGACGGGUGAGGAAUACAUCGGAAUCUACUCUGUCGUGGGGGAUAACGUAGGGAAACUUACGCUAAUACCGCAUACGACCUACGGGUGAAAGCAGGGGAUCUUCGGACCUUGCGCGAUUGAAUGAGCCGAUGUCGGAUUAGCUAGUUGGCGGGGUACAGGCACACCAAGGCGACGAUCCGUAGCUGGUCUGAGAUGGUGAUCAGCCACACUGGAACUGAGACACGGUCCAGACUCCUACGGGAGGCAGCAGUGGGGAAUAUUGGACAAUGGGCGCAAGCCUGAUUCAGCCAUACCGCGUGGGUGAAGAAGGCCUUCGGGUUGUAAAGCCCUUUUGUUGGGAAAGAAAUCCAGCUGGCUAAUACCCGGUUGGGAUGACGGUACCCAAAGAAUAAGCACCGGCUAACUUCGUGCCAGCCGCCGCGGUAA